This 343-nucleotide ribosomal RNA is filed under the name Bacillus atrophaeus. RNAcentral's name for it is "bacterial SSU rRNA". It matches the Rfam family "Bacterial small subunit ribosomal RNA", at positions 118 to 454 of the family's 1533-position model. The record is from RNAcentral. Lineage: Bacteria; Bacillati; Bacillota; Bacilli; Caryophanales; Bacillaceae.
UGGGUAACCUGCCUGUAAGACUGGGAUAACUCCGGGAAACCGGGGCUAAUACCGGAUGCUUGUUUGAACCGCAUGGUUCAAACAUAAAAGGUGGCUUCGGCUACCACUUACAGAUGGACCCGCGGCGCAUUAGCUAGUUGGUGAGGUAACGGCUCACCAAGGCAACGAUGCGUAGCCGACCUGAGAGGGUGAUCGGCCACACUGGGACUGAAACACGGCCCAGACUCCUACGGGAGGCAGCAGUAGGGAAUCUUCCGCAAUGGACAAAAGUCUGACGGAGCAACGCCGCGUGAGUGAUGAAGGUUUUCGGAUCGUAAAGCUCUGUUGUUAGGGAAGAACAAGU